This 442-nucleotide ribosomal RNA is filed under the name uncultured bacterium. RNAcentral's name for it is "bacterial SSU rRNA". It matches the Rfam family "Bacterial small subunit ribosomal RNA", at positions 28 to 453 of the family's 1533-position model. The record is from RNAcentral.
GAUGAACGCUGGCGGCGUGCUUAACACAUGCAAGUCGAACGAAGCAAUUUAACGGAAGUUUUCGGAUGGAAGUUAAAUUGACUGAGUGGCGGACGGGUGAGUAACGCGUGGGUAACCUGCCUCAUACAGGGGGAUAACAGUUAGAAAUGACUGCUAAUACCGCAUAAGCGCACAGUAUCGCAUGAUACAGUGUGAAAAACUCCGGUGGUAUGAGAUGGACCCGCGUCUGAUUAGCUAGUUGGUGGGGUAACGGCCUACCAAGGCGACGAUCAGUAGCCGACCUGAGAGGGUNACGGCACGAUUGGGACUGAGACACGGCCCAAAACUCCUAACGGGAGGCAGCAGUGGGGAAUAUUGCACAAUGGCGAAAGCCUGAUGCAGCGACGCCGCGUGAGCGAAGAAGUAUUCGGUAUGUAAAGCUCUAUCAGCAGGGAAGAAAAAU